RNAcentral lists this ribosomal RNA (386 nucleotides) under uncultured prokaryote. RNAcentral's name for it is "bacterial SSU rRNA". It matches the Rfam family "Archaeal small subunit ribosomal RNA", at positions 339 to 725 of the family's 1478-position model. The record is from RNAcentral.
GCGCGAAAACUUUACAAUGCUGGCAACAGCGAUAAGGGGACCUCGAGUGCCAGGUUACAAAUCUGGCUGUCGUAAUGCCUAAAAAGCAUUGCAUAGCAAGGGCCGGGCAAGACCGGUGCCAGCCGCCGCGGUAACACCGGCGGCUCGAGUGGUAACCGUUAUUAUUGGGUCUAAAGGGUCUGUAGCCGGCCGGAUAAGUCUCUUGGGAAAUCUGGCAGCUUAACUGUCGGGCUUUCAGGAGAUACUGUCUGGCUCGAGGCCGGGAGAGGUGAGAGGUACUUCAGGGGUAGGGGUGAAAUCUUGUAAUCCUUGAAGGACCACCAGUGGCGAAGGCGUCUCACCAGAACGGACCUGACGGCAAGGGACGAAAGCUAGGGGCACGAACC